This 564-nucleotide ribosomal RNA is filed under the name uncultured Glomus. RNAcentral describes it as "eukaryotic LSU rRNA". The stretch from base 164 to 317 matches the Rfam family "5.8S ribosomal RNA". Lineage: Eukaryota; Fungi; Glomeromycota; Glomeromycetes; Glomerales; Glomeraceae. The record is from RNAcentral.
GGAAGUAAAAGUCGUAACAAGGUUUCCGUAGGUGAACCUGCGGAAGGAUCAUUAAUGAUUUUUAAAGCGAGUCGAGCGUUAAGCGAGGCUUGCGAAAUAUUUAAAACCCCACUCUUUUUAACCUUAAAAAAUAAAUCAUGAUACAUGAAUUUAAAAAAAAGAUCACUUUCAACAACGGAUCUCUUGGCUCUCGCAUCGAUGAAGAACGCAGCGAAAUGCGAUAAGUAGUGUGAAUUGCAUAAUUUUGUGAAUCAUCGAAUCUUUGAACGCAUAUUGCACUUUCUGGUAUUCCGGAAAGUAUGCCUGUUUGAGGGUCAGUUAAAUAAAAAUCGGUGUUGUUGCCGCUUUUCGUGGUGACGCGUCGGAAUUGAGUUGUCUUACCUUCGGUUAAGUGACUUAAAAUUUUGUAUGAUUUUCGAACGUAUUUAAAUUUAUUUGAACGUUUGAUAUCGAAUGCUUAUUAGGUUCGGUCAUCCUCAUGACUCGCGCCUAUAAUUUUUCAUUAAAUGACCUCAAAUCAGGUAAGAAUACCCGCUGAACUUAAGCAUAUCAAUAAGCGGAGGA